Molecule: non-coding RNA, 548 nt
Organism: Odocoileus virginianus texanus
Lineage: Eukaryota; Metazoa; Chordata; Mammalia; Artiodactyla; Cervidae
Source: RefSeq, a predicted model, not a curated record
GAUGACACCACUGACCUUGCAUUAGCCUGGUGAGCAACUGACAGAUCCAAGAAGCCACAGCCUUCCCUUCUCCAUGGCCUCACAAUUCAGAAACUGAAACUCAGAUAUGUCAAAACUUCUGCUGACAUUGUCACCACCUGAAAUUGGCAGAGCCAAGAUAUAAUUCCAGCUUUCUUUAUGUUUUCCUAAAGCCACACUGCCUGUCAACUCUAAAUGAAGCAACAGGAAGCAAGUGGGAAGCUCAUGCUAAAACUACUAACAUGAAGACAGUUGGAGCAUUCUUACUCAUGAACCUCAAAUACUCUGGACUUAAAAAAGAUGAUAAACAAGCACUGAGGCUCCUAAUGACAUUAGUUGCAUAAGUCAAAUCAGUUGCUAAGAAAGGCCUUAUAAUGGCUGCCUCUGGAAGAGAAAGGUGGAAGGGACCCCAUGUGCAUAAGACAGGAAAUGAGAAGGGAGUGUGGCAGAAAGUGGAGAUGGAAAUGGAAGAAGUGAAUGGGGCCAGUCAAGUAGUCCUGGAAUGACACGUAUGGAUUUUGUUCUUAAGU